Xyrichtys novacula (pearly razorfish) is the source of this 3448-nucleotide non-coding RNA. Lineage: Eukaryota; Metazoa; Chordata; Actinopteri; Labriformes; Labridae. The record is from the annotation of a GenBank genome assembly.
CUUUUAUCGACUUCUUCUGGAGUUUAGAGACUCUGACAUGAAGCAGGCUUUCCUUACUGAGGAGUUAGCAACGCUGCUAAGGGUGCAGAGCCACACAUGCGCUCAGAGCUCUGCAUGGGAGACUGAAGCUGACAGAGCUGCAGCAGUUAGCAGGUUUCACCCUCAGAGACCACCAGGGGUUCAUGUUGAGGCAUUUUUAUUUUUAUUUUUUUUUGUGCCAUAGACACUGUCAGCACAAUCUGCAGUUACACUAACAAAAAUGCUGCAAAAAACAAAGAAUUGUGGAAAAAUUACACAUGGACUGACAUAGAGGAGGAUCUACACAAGUAUUUUACAUCAUGUUUUACAUCAUGCAUCAUUUACAUCAUGUUUUUUUGUAGUGGCAUAAAUAAAAAGUGACAUUUGUGAGACUAUACAGUGUUUUGUAAAUAAUUUUACAAAGAACGCCUGGGCCAUUGCCUGCAUUUUGAUGUAAAUAGAGGUAAAUCACUAUGUUCUUUGUUAAAAAUUUGCAUAUGUUUUGAAGUUUACAAUUUUUAUUUGAAGUUUAAGUUUUAAAAACAGUUCAUCACACAUAUUUGUGGUUUUCACAGUAAAAAUGUUACUUUUUUCCACUCGGAUUUUAUGUUUUGUGUGUGAAUUUGGGUCCAUUGUGUAAAUUCAGUAUGUCAACAUGAUAAAAUAACUGUAAAUUCGCACAGGUGAGGUUGUGCUGAAAAAAAUGAUACCAGGCAAGGCACGUGAUUGUCAAAUUUUGUGUCAAUAUGACAAAGCGUAUAGGCGUGAAUCUCAACAAUAUGUAUUUUCACCUUAAGGGACAAGAAAAAAUGGACUUUUUUCUCCUGCCAUGGGGGGGGCGCUCUUUUGGGGAGUAAAAAUUCCUUCACAAAUGUGUUGAUGGCUGGACAUUGCAUCAUCCUAGAAAACUUGGAGGCCAGUGAGGACAAAAAUAAAAAGUUAUAAGACUUUUAAAUAUGUGGAUUUUAGGGUUAUCUUUGGCGCCCCCUAGAACCUAAACCGUGGGUUGCAGCGUCAUGAUUUUGAUAACUUUUAAUGGCCAUGGGGUGUAGAUUGGCCUGAGCAAAUGUGGUGCCGGUGGAACGAAAGCCUUAGGAGGAGUUAGCCACAUUCCAAUGUGUGCGGAUCGGCAAAAAAUGCGGAAUAACCCUUUAACCGUACAUUUGACAGAUACGCGCGCAUUGACUUUUUCGUAGAUCUUAUUGAGUUACAUGUGUGUGUCAAUUUUUGUGUCAUUUUGACAAAGCGUAUAGGCGUGACACUCAACAAUGUGUAUUUUCACCUUAGGGGACAAGAAAAAAUUGACUUUUUUCUCCUGCCAUGGGGGGGCGCUCUUUUGGGGAGUAAAAAUUCCUUCACAAAUGUGUUGAUGGCUGGACAUUGCAUCAUCCUAGAAAACUUGGAGGCCAGUGAGGACAAAAAUAAAAAGUUAUAAGACUUUUAAAUAUGUGGAUUUUAGUGUUAUCUUUGGCGCCCCCUAGAACCUAAACCUUGGGGUGCAGCGUCAUGAUUUUGAUAACUUUUAAUGGCCACGGGGUGUAGAUUGGCCUGAGCAAAUGUGGUGCCGGUGGAACGAAAGCCUUCGGAGGAGUUAGCGAAAUUCCAAUGUGUGCGGAUCGGCAAAAAAUGCGAAAUAACCCUUUAACCGUAAUUUUGACAGAUACGGCCGCACUGACUUUUUUGUAGAUCUUAUUGAGAUACAUAUGUGUGUCAAUUUUUGUGUCAAUAUGACAAAGCGUACAGGCGUGACAGUCAAUAGUGUGAAUUUCCACCUUAGGGGGCGCUAUGGAGCCAUUUUGCAUUUUAUUGUUUGGGCGACUUCAGAAUAUCGAAUUUUUCACCAGGCCCGGUCGUCCUGCCAAAUUUCAUGAGUUUUCGCCAGUGGGAAGUGGGCCAUUUUCCAGUUCAAAGGGGAGGAAAAAGAAACUAGGGCCCCGGUGGGGCACUGUCGGGCCCGAGCCGCGUUGCGCCGCCCCCAGCGCGACCGCCUCCCCCUCCCGAUCGCGUCACACUCAAGGUCCAAAGAUGGUGUGCGCACUUGUCUGUGGUCAUUUCCCAUUAUAAUGAAUGGGAGGCGCAGUUUCUACCAAAACACUCGCUGCAGACAAACUACAUGUCCUAUUUGAAAAAAGUCUGGACCAUGAGUGAGGGCACAAACACAGCUAGGAUAUAUCCAAACGGCAAGUUGCUCCUCGUUACGGUGUUGCCGGGAGAGUGAUGCGAUUGAGCCAUUGAGUGAUGGGCAGGAAAAACUUGACUGUUUCUCCUGCCAUGGGGGUUGGGGGUUGGGGGAUGGGGGGGGGGGAUGUGGAUUCUUUUAAGAAUGUGGAUAUUUGGGUCAUCUUUGGCGCCCCCUAGAACGUAAACCGUGGGGUGCAGCGUCAUGAUUUGAAUAACUUUGAAUGGCCAUGGGGUGUAGAUUGGCCUGAGAGAAUUUGGUGUCAGUGGGACGAAAGCCUUAGGAGGAGUUAGCCACAUUCCAAUGUGUGCGAAUCGGCAAAAAAUGCAAAAUAGCCCUUUAACCGUACAUUUUACAGAUACGCGCGCAUUGACUUUUUCGUAGAUCUUAUUGAGAUACAUGUGAUUGUCAAAUUUUGUGUCAAUAUGACAAAGCGUACAGGUAUGACAGUCAACAAUGUGUAUUUUCACCUUAUGGGACAAGAAAAAAUUGACUUUUUUCUAUUGCCAUGGGGGGGCGCUCUUUUGGGGAGUAAAAAUUCCUUCACAAAUGUGUUGAUGGCUGGACAUUGCAUCAUCCUAGAAAACUUGGAGGCCAGUGAGGGCAAAAAUAAAAAGUUAUAAGACUUUGAAAUAUGUGGAUUUUAGGGUUAUCUUUGGCGCCCCCUAGAACCUAAACCGUGGGGUGCAGCGUCAUGAUUUGAAUAACUUUUAAUGGCCAUGGGGUGUAGAUUGGCCUGAGCAAAUGUGGUGGCGGUGGAAUGAAAGCCUUCGGAGGAGUUAGCGAAAUUCCAAUGUGUGCGGAUCGGCAAAAAAUGCGGAAUAACCCUUUAACCGUACAUUUGACAGAUACGCCCGCACUGACUUUUUUGUAGAUCUUAUUGAGAUACAUGUGUGUGUCAAUUUUUGUGUCAAUAUGACAUGAGAAGGGAGGGAGGGACUCUCAGCAGGGAUGCAGUCUGGGACACGUAGUUGCAAACCUAGCGACUUUGUUGUUAGAUUCAAUUACUUUUCAGACCCCCUAACGACUUUUUUUUAGAAAGAAAGGGACUUUUAUCGACUUCUUCUGGAGUUUAGAGACUCUGACAUGAAGCAGGCUUUCCUUACUGAGGAGUUAGCAACGCUGCUAAGGGUGCAGAGCCACACAUGCGCUCCGAGCUCUGCAUGGGAGACUGAAGCUGACAGAGCUGCAGCAGUUAGCAGGUUUCACCCUCAGAGACCACCAGGGGUUCAUGUUGAGGCAUUUUCAGUU